Molecule: non-coding RNA, 348 nt
Organism: Paralichthys olivaceus (Japanese flounder)
Lineage: Eukaryota; Metazoa; Chordata; Actinopteri; Pleuronectiformes; Paralichthyidae
Source: RefSeq, a predicted model, not a curated record
CUCAGCUGUCCUCAUGUGUUUCACCUGUCCAAUGAUCCCUGCUGCCUCACUUGUCCCCUUCUUCUGUGUCAGUUCAGGAUCUGUUGGGAUUACUGUGGAGACUGACAGGAUCCCUGGGUAGAGAGCAAAGGGGACGACAUGAGCUAAAGGUCACUAGACAUGGCACAGCAUGAUAGACCAUGACCCUGUGGGAUGCAGGGACACCCAAGAACUAGAAUUCUUUCUACUGUUGCAGGGGGAGACAGUCAAGUGGUUUUAUCUACAGUAUGACUAACAACCAGCACUCGCUAUACCUGUCUGUCUGCGUCACAGUGGGAUUGAUGGACAUCCAUGACCAAUCGUGUUCCU